AGAAGCCUCCCCCUGGACCGCCCAUCCCACCCCUCCUCCUAUUCACCUGACGCACACUGAGCCAGGUGCAUCUACUGGGCCCAGCGCCACGGCCCUCUGCACCACAGCUUUUAAUGGCACCAUCUAGUUUCACAUCUCACUUUGGUAUAUUUUGCUGCAUAUGAAGUAAGACACAGGCAACUCAGCCGACAGUCAGGGAUCUCCUGUUCUUAGUCUCACUCCCAUUCCUGCCAUAAUUUCCCCAAACAUCCCCCAACAGCAUGGCGGGGGCCAAUCCAAACCUUUGCCAUCACCCCUGAGUUUCUAGGAAGCACCCUGUGCCCCUUCUUCCUGGAAUAUUGUUCUGCUCACCUUCUCCAGGUGUUCGCAUCCCUCAAGGACAUUCCUGCUUCGACUCUGCAGGAAGGAGCUGUGCUCUCGGCCCCAUUAUCUGCGCCCCCUCAAUGCACGCAGCUCCCCCCCGCCGCCACCGUUUGUUUAUUUUCUACAGGUCUAUUAGUGCAAUGAAGUCCUUGAGGGCACUUCUGUGUCUGAUCUGCUUUCUGGCCCCACCAGUCCCCUCCGAAUCAGGAUGUGCCACCGGGAGCCUGGGCAAUGCCCACUUCGGUGAGGUGGCAUGUCUGGGCAUGUGGGGCCUCCCAGAGCCGUCUGGGAAGGAGCCCGUCCCCAGAGGUGAGGCGAACAGCAUGGCCCCUUACAAGGCCUCAGUCACGACGCUGCACUUGGGUUUUGGGAAGAGCCUAAUGUUGGCUUUCAGCUGUGUCUCCCCGCCCCAGAGCUGUUUACUAAAAAAAUCGAGAAGGCACAGGAACACUCACGGCACAAUUUUACCAUCCCUGGGCAAACACUGGGAGUGGAGAAGAAGCAUCUUCUCUAGACUCUGAAGGGCUCCCAGGGGAGGGACACAGGCCUGAUGCUUGGGGUGGCUCAAGGAGGCAGUUCAUCAAAACCUCAUGGGACCCGCAGAAAAUAAAAAAAAAGACUGCAGGUGUUACCCGAGACCUCACUGUUUAUUAGUGAACACAUGCGAGAUACCUCUCGGGACCCCGCGGAAGUAAUAUGUGGGGGGCGGGGAACUGCAGAGCCUGGAGGUUCUGCAGGAGCAGGUGGGGAUGGAGGCAGGGAUAAUAUUUCAGGAAUGGGGCUAUGAGAGCGUCAGCCGUGUGUGCAAAAGAAAUGUUUCAAAGCACAUACAGGUUUGGGGCGCUGUGAUUAAUUAGUUCUGCGAGGUCUCUGGGUUCUAUAAACACAGUCUCACAACCUUGAGUCUUGUCACUCUAGGAUUAACCUGCCUCCUGGGGCCUCCGUCCCUUCUCACGUUCCAUUUUCUAUGUUCUUAAACCCUCCCACCCCCAGGUGUUACAACUAUUUGCAUCACCUCCUCUAAGCUUGCUACAAAUAAAUCUGUGGAGUCAUAGGGGCCCAUGUCACCACUCAGAAGCUUUUGUUUGUCAUUUCGAGAACGGCAAAUAUCAGGAGUGGGCAAAGGAUAAACCCAUGAUGUUCGUCCCUGGUGUCUGGGAGCUGGGGGAGAGGGUGGCAGGAGAGGGAGGGAACGGGGCAGACAGACCGGCCUGCCUUGCUGCUCCUCCUUGCUCAGGCCUGAUGAUUAUUAACUGCGUGUGUGCACUGACACAAUUUGCUAGUUUUCUGAGUAGGCGAAUUGCGCUUAGUCAUCUUGGCAUUUUUAAAUGUAAAUGAAAAAUCACCCGGUGCUCUGAGCCAGAAGCGAGAAAGAUAAAUAACACCAGGAAGCUGGUCGUUGCCCGUCUGUCAUAAAAUUUCAUUAGUUGUGACAGCCUGUACAACACCAGCAAUGAAUGAUGCUAACUGUACCUCCUCGCCUCAGCCACUCCCAGAAGUUACUGGCGCUGCAAGGGCCAGGGGGGGUGCCACCUGCCGGGGUGCUGGGAUGAAGGGCACGCAAGCCUUCGCCAGCCAGGGAUGGCCACCGUGCAGGGGGACGUGGUUCAGUCAUGACACACCACCCCCGCCCUGCGCCCGGCAGUGGCCUCAGAGCCUCCCUGUCCACGUGGGACGGCGCUCUCCUGGGACUCACUCAUCGAGCAAAUAUCUCCUGGUUCUUCCACACGCCAGGCACUGAGGGCUGCAGGGUUAAGAAUCUGUCCAAUCAAUACGGGGAUGGCGCCAAGUGCCCGGAAAACGCAGCAGGAGAGGGGAGGGAGCCCUGGCGAGGCUGGGUGAAGGGCAGCGGCGAGCUGUCACUCACGUCACUCAGGUCCUGGAAAUCGGGGAUGGCCUGGGAGGCCUGAGUCUCUUGGGGUAACUGACAUAAAGAUAAAGGCGUCCUGCCUUCUCUCCUCUUCCCACUCGGAACAAACCAGAGUGAUAGCCGUCAAGUGGGUCAGGACAAGGGGGGGCAUCUGUGCGGAAACCGGAGGGAAACGGUAGCCUGAGGUCGGAGCUGGUGAGGAGGACGUCCUCACAAGGGGACGCCCAGCCCUGUGGGGAGGGGGAGUUACCCGUGGGGCACUGAGCAAACAAGUAAUACAUGAAGGAAGUGGGGGCCUGGCCUCACUGUCAGAGAAGGGAGGACAUACGGGGAAAGGGAGGAAAGCCCUAAAACCAACCCUGUGCUGCUGGAUGGGAACCGGGGGAUCAGAGGGAAUGUGUGGUUUUCAACUGUAGAAACCAGUGCGCAGAAAUCAGUACAGACGAACAUACACAGUCCAUUGCUGUGCCACUGAGAGAGCUUGGGGAGCAAAUCUUGGGCAGAAGAACAGGUAAUAUAGAAAAAAAAAUGCACCUUCCUGCUCAUGGGGUGGCUGGUAACAUAAAAGCCUAUAGAUGUCUGUGGUAUCUUUGCCACCAUAAAGGGAGAGGCCGCCUGGGACUGAAGCAGACACCGAAGGAGGAAAGCACAGAGACAGAAUCCCAAAAGCAUCCUUCGAACCCCUGGAUCCAGCCAUGCCUGAAGCUAAGUGAACACAUUUCUUCCUCCCUCCCUUUUUUAUUUAAACCAGGACUAUUCAAACUGCUGUCACUUGCAAGGAAAGAGUUCUGAUUAUUAAUUCUCUCAAAUUCCUGAUGAUUGGUCUUUGUUAAAUCACAACCUCAAAUAUUUUGAGCACCCUAGUUUUUUUAAAGACAUCUGCAUUCUGCUGUGGUCAUUCACUUAGCAAAUAUUUACUUAGUGUCUACUACAUGCCAAGUGCCAAUCUAGGUUCUUGCGUGCCAUCAGUGAGUGAAAGCUGACAAGAGUCUCUAGCCUGUGAAAGUGGAGAGAUACAGUAAACACCACCCAAUAACUAGAUAAAGAGAAGAGUGUAAAUGCUGGCAGGGGGGUGGUUGGAAAAGAAAAGGUAGACCACAGUAAGGGGUGACCGACAUUCCAAUGCAGGAAGUGGGACUUGCCAUUUUAAAUACAGUGGUCAGGGGAGGAUGUCACAGUGACAUCUCAGCAAAGCCCAGAGGAGGAGGGGACAAGUUGGUCUGGGAGAGGAGGGAACUGCCAGGGCAAAGGCCCAGAGGCAGAAGCAGGUCUGGGGUGUUCCAGGUACCGACGGAAGUUACUGGGGCUAGAGCGGGGGGCAGGCAGCCAGAGGGUCCUAACGGGAGACGCUGGGGCAAAUCGGGUCGGACCGUGAAGGCACCUGAAACCCUCAGCUUUGACUCUGCCAGGAGUCACCGUCACAUCUUUUAAGCAGGAAAUGGCAGGGUCUCAAGUGUUAAAAGGCUCACUUUGGCUGUUUGUUGAGAAUGGACAGGACUGGGGGGGGGGCACCCAGGUGGGAGAUGUUGGGGGCUCAGGCCAGAGCCCAUCCCGGGAGGAGUGAGCAAGGACCUGAGGGCUUCGUGCCAGAGCAAGUCCCAUCACGAGGGAAGGAGAAAAGGUGAAUCCUGCCUUCCUGUUACCAUGAAAAGAAUUUCCAUCUUUUUUUAUCAGACACCCGCCAAGGGUCCCGGGGUCCCCCGGAGGGGCCAGGCCACACUCUGCGCACCACCGGUGUAGAGAGAGGCUCCCGGGGACGGACACAGCGGGAACAGCCGCGGGAGAGGCCUGUGGGAAGGAGAGCAGGAGGGCCGCUCCUAGAAGGGGCUGCGUGCAGAGGCCUCGCGCAGGCCUUUCAGGGCCGAGCUCUUGUGGCAAACGGCGGCGCCGCCACCUCGACGGGCGGGUCGUGUGCAGAAGCGCCCGAGAACCCGGCCACACCUGCACCUGGCGGCAGGGCGCCGAGUGCAGAGAUGCUGCACCUGGCACGGUGCUCGGCCGCGUGAGCCGUGCUGCGCCUGCGCCUGCCGGCGGAAACCCCGCCCCCCGAGACCCCGCCCGCCCCCGAACCCCCUCCCCCGGGGCAGACUGACCCACCAAGGAGCCCGGCCCAUGGCAUGCCAGAAGGCUUGCCAUGGCUUUCAAAGCUUUCAGAGUUCCAGUUCUGGCUCAGCGGUAGCAAACCCGACUAGUACCCAUGAGGUUGCGGGUUAGAUCCCUGGCCUUGCUCAGUGGGUUAAGGAUCUGGCCUUGUCCUGAACCGUGUUGUGGGCUGCAGAUGCCUCCUGGAUCCUGAGUUGCUGAGGCUGCGGCGUGGGCCGGUAGCUGCAGCUCUGAUUCAGUCCCUAACCUGGGUACAUCCAUAUGCCACGGGGAGGAGCGGGGGCAGCCGAAAAAUAAAAAUAAAACAUUUUAAGAAAUUAAGAGCUAGACAGAAAAAAGAUCAAAAUUAGUUACCUAUAGUUGAUGGAAUUACAGAUGAUUUUUAGAUUGCCAUCCUUUUGCUUUUUUUCCCUUAUUUUCUACAAUUAAUAUGAAUACUCUAGUAACAAGAAGACAACAGAGCUAUAAGGUUGCCCUCUGCCCAUACAAUGCACGGAGCCUGCGAGGAGCAGUAGAAAGUGGCAUCUAUCACUCUUUAUGACUUAAUUACAUGCACCUCUAUUUUUUCCUACCUAUAUCUUUCUCCUUUUCUUUUUCUUCCUCAAAGAGAUGUUGUAGAAGCAAAAAUGGAGCUACAGAUGGCUAGAUUAAGCUAGAUUCUUUGAUUAAUGUACUUGGAAUACUUUAUUCAGAUCAGCUUCAUGUCUAAAACAAUGGAAGAGAAGAGGUUAUGAAAAUAGAUGAGAUUGGACAGCGAAAUAAUGAAACUUGAAUUGUUUUUUCAGUACCAAAACAUAUCCGGAACUCCUCUCGAGUUCUUCGGAGUUGAAGUCACAUUUCUUAAGGAGCUUCAGGAACAUAAAUCUUCCCGCUUUGAGGCUGAAUUUCAUUUUUGGAAACAACUAAAAAUUAUCCAGAGCCAAUUCUGAUGAAUAAGGUGGUUGAUGGAGCAGGAAACUAUUUUUGGGGUUAAAAAUGAGGUGCAAUUGUAGAGCGAUGAGAUAGAAAAUAUAAACUAGCUCAGAGGUAAUUCCAAAGUGGAAUUCUUUAAGCCUUUUGAGGCUCUUCGGUGGGGCAAAAACGUAGAGCCCUUCGAGUGAGUAUUGUGAGAGAAGAGCCAUUUAUCAUCAUUCCUGCCCGUUUCUCUCACCAAACGGGGAUAUAACAGCCUCAGCCCCAUACGUCUUAAGCCCACCUCCAAUCUCUCCCCAGGGGACCCUCUCACUUGGCACCUCCCUGCGCCCUCUUCCCCUCUAGAAAGUGGUUUGAAAUUCUGUCCUCUCCUCACAGAACUGAGUUCCAUCAUUCAUGAUGGUCAACUCUCCACACAUCAUUAAAAUUAAAAUUGGGGCAUCCUGAUGUCUCUGGACAGGAUCACCAGCCAAUGAUUCCAGCAGCUUCCAUCCUCUGAAUCCCUGUCUCAGCAACGAAGGAGCCAUCAUGCCUUGUUCACUAAAACCAGCCCAGGGGUGGCAGCCGUCUCUGGGCUGGGCUCCCCCUCUUCCUAGGAUGCGUGUGGGCUCCUGGGUCAUUUUCUACCUGCAAUUUUCUCUCUGUGCAGCUGGAACCUGGGGGCCAGAGAAACUGGCCCAGUUCAUGCCAGAUAGUGCCUCUUCGAAGCUUCGGACUUGCAGUGGUUUCUUCGCAUCGCAAACCCAGGCCACCACCCUCUCAGGGUCCCCUUUCCAAUAGGACGCCCUGGGGCGGCGGGGGGCCAGGCCCUGGGCCCGUCUUCUGGACUCUUUGGGUGAGGAGUAAACCAGCCUGGGGGAGCGCAGCUGAGCUGAGCAGGGUCAGAGCCCAAAUGGGGCCCCGAGGCUCCAUCUCCUCCAUGCAGAGCAGAACGUCAGGACAGGGCAGGUUGGCACAAAGUAAAUAAACCCCAGCCUAAAAAUUCCAUCAAGUUUUGACAAAUUUCUGUUUCAAGAAAGGAAAAGGAACGAGUGGGGCGUGCAGGGUUGGGAGGCUGCACUGGCCGUGCGUCUCCUUCACCAGCCUCAGUGUGAUCGGGUGGUGGAACUUGGUUCUGGUUUCAGCAGACAGGAUUCAUUUCAAAGGCUCCCUUUUUUUUGGUCAAACUGAGUUUAUAAACACAGCUAUUUGCUAAUAAAUGUGAC
RNAcentral lists this long non-coding RNA (6453 nucleotides) under Sus scrofa (pig). Its description in RNAcentral is "lncRNA (ENSSSCG00000041710.2)". Lineage: Eukaryota; Metazoa; Chordata; Mammalia; Artiodactyla; Suidae. The record is from RNAcentral.